UGUAACACAUAUAUCGUUUUCUUCUUCUUCUUUUGUGAAUCGUCGAAACAAGGGAUGCGCGUCGAGAUGUUGAGCCAUCCAAACAUGUAGCUCUUCCACGUCUGUAAUGGUAUAAAGCGUUCCAUGGGGUCGAAUGAAAUAAGCAUACUCACUUGCCAAAGUACUUGUGAUAAUUCUAUUUUUAUGUUUACGAGCCUUGAAGUGAGGAUCUGGAAAGCAGAAAAACAUUUUUGAGAGUUGCCCUUUUUCGAAGAAAUUUGGAAGGAACUUUUGGCAAUUCAUACGAAGAACAGAAAUGUUUUUGUAUCCCCCUGGAACCGGCUCUUCAUGAUCUGCACGAUAACGCAAUGCUUGUAUCUUUUCUUUCAAAUAGUCUGAAACUUGCAUCCGGAUUUCCAUGCCUAAAACUAAUGUAUCAGGAAACUGGGGACCAAGUGCAACAGUAAGACCCCCGUAGCCGCAUCCUAUGUCUACGAUCUCGACCUUUUUGUUAGAUUCAACAUCAAAAUCAGGAUAAUAAGGACUCCAAUCCAUUUCAGACGGACUUCUUGGACUGCGAGAGUUAGCAACAACCAAAUUUUUAAAAAUAAAAUAGAAGGUAAUCCCAAAUUAUAUAAAAAAUAUAUGUAAAAAGAGUUUAUCGGUCACAGUUCUCAGCCAAACACAACUACUGUAUAUAAACUUACUACUCAAGUUCAUGAUCCGAAAGGACAUUUGCAUGCGCUCUUUGACGAAACAAACGUUUCUGUAAACAAUAUUAGUUAAAAGUCAAUACACAAGAUAAUUUUGUAUGAGAACAUACCAUGGGCAAUCGCCCCUCCACACCUCCUUGCUUGGACAAACGUUUCAGCUUCUUCCUUGCCUCCUCUUCUUCCCUUUGCAAUUGUGCUGCAGAUUUUUUGGCUGUAGCAGACAUUUUCUCUCUUUAGUUGAGCACACGAAAACCCCAAAAGGUAAAGGUUUAGUAAACUAGCUGUGCUGUAGUAAAAAUUUGACUGAGACCAAAAAAUUUGUAUUCAAAUCAGCUCAGUGUAAAAUUUAUC
Non-coding RNA from Schizosaccharomyces pombe (fission yeast), 1043 nucleotides. Lineage: Eukaryota; Fungi; Ascomycota; Schizosaccharomycetes; Schizosaccharomycetales; Schizosaccharomycetaceae. The record is from the annotation of a GenBank genome assembly.